Oreochromis aureus is the source of this 1446-nucleotide long non-coding RNA. The record is from Ensembl. NCBI's taxonomy places the organism in Eukaryota, Metazoa, Chordata, Actinopteri, Cichliformes, Cichlidae.
UUUUUGUUUUCUUGAAUUAAAAACACUUUCAAACUUUAGCACAUCCUACUUUUUCAUCACCCAAGAAAUAUAUUUCACACUCCUUUAUUCCAUACACACCUUUAAAAGUUCUCACCUCUUUCAGACGCCAUAAAUCGUCUCCCACACGCACUGCCUUUCUCUCACUCAGAGAACUCACGCAGAGUCACUCAAAUCAAAUACUGACAGCACUCACACAGUUAAAAUCACUCGAAAUACGCUUUCAUACGAGUAUUUUGGACAUGCCUUCCAUGAUCAGAAAGAGCAAGUCAAAAGAAAAAGAAAAAGAAAACUGAAACCUCUCAUCAUCCUCGCAGCUUCUCCCCACACACACAUAACUGAAAAUAAAACACACCAACAUUUAUGGCUCACGAAAUGUACAUCUAUCAAAAUUCAGUCAUUUACUAUACAUCCACACUAAUAUAUUCACACUGUAUUUACAUUCUCAUAAUAAGCUCUUAUAUACAGGCAUUUAGCAAAAAGCUCUCAGUCCUCUCGAAAACUGAAACCACCCUCUCUGCGCGUCACUGCUGCUCAUUUGCAUUUACACACACAAUCAGUGCACAUCCGGCUGUGCAUGACUAACACAGAGACUGAUCCUACUCAUAGAUCUCAUAUUUUAUAUUACAGACGUCUUAAAUUACAACUGCACAGAUUUUUUUUUUAGGCCUUUUCAACUCCUAUGUAAUUUCGAUAAUAGAACAUAACGGCUCCAACCGAUCAGUCCCAGACUUUUUGUGCUCAAUUCACCAGGGCGGUCCCAGACUGUCCUGUCCAGAUCUCUAAACCUAACUUAAUUUGCCAGCAUACCCAAUAAGCGCAAAAAUAGGAGACUCUAACUCCUAGCAAUUUCAGAGGUUCCCAAGUUCUCUCCCGCUGUCGACGGUACUAUCCCUACUCUUCAGGGUAGGCCAAGGGUCAGCGUCCUGCCCAGGUGCAAGCGUUACCAAGGAGAAAAUGCGCUUCUUAACAGACGCCGCUGUCGUCCUAGAAAAAUUUAGAAUAAUUUGAAACAACAAUCUACAUCCGGAACAGGAUUAAGAUUGAGGCAGAUCUCCCGUUGUGGACAUAAAGGGACUUGAACCCACGAACUGACCAUCACACGUAGAUCAAAUGACCAACGGGGCUUCACCCCACACAAUGACCAAAUUCCCUAUCCUUCUAAAAGUUCACUUCGCAGUCCAACUGCUUUAAUUCUCUUUUCAUUCCUUUAUUCUCAUUAACUCAGUACUGUCACUUAUAAACUUCCAUUUCAUUAUCAUUACUUCAACCGGUAAACUUCAUGAAAACUUCACCAAAAUUAAAAAACAGACAUUCACCAGUAAUUUUCAGUGAGUAGACUUUAAUUUGACAUGCCCAAUGUGACACCUUUUGGAAAUAUAUUUCAACAGGCAGUGUCUUACCUUUAAAUGCCCCGGGGAAUGCCUG